AACGAACGCUGGCGGCAUGCCUAACACAUGCCAGUCGAACGAGACCUUCGGGUCUAGUGGCGCACGGGUGCGUAACGCGUGGGAAUCUGCCCUUGGGUUCGGAAUAACAGUUGGAAACGACUGCUAAUACCGGAUGAUGACGUAAGUCCAAAGAUUUAUCGCCCAGGGAUGAGCCCGCGUAGGAUUAGCUAGUUGGUGGGGUAAAGGCCUACCAAGGCGACGAUCCUUAGCUGGUCUGAGAGGAUGAUCAGCCACACUGGGACUGAGACACGGCCCAGACUCCUACGGGAGGCAGGAGUGGGGAAUAUUGGACAAUGGGCGAAAGCCUGAUCCAGCAAUGCCGCGUGAGUGAUGAAGGCCUUAGGGUUGUAAAGCUCUUUUACCCGGGAUGAUAAUGACAGUACCGGGAGAAUAAGCCCCGGCUAACUCCGUG
Molecule: ribosomal RNA, 433 nt
Filed under: uncultured bacterium
Lineage: Bacteria
Description: partial 16S ribosomal RNA
Rfam family: Bacterial small subunit ribosomal RNA
Source: RNAcentral